AGCGACAGGCUUAACACAUGCAAGUCGAGGGGCAGCACAGGUAGCAAUACCGGGUGGCGACCGGCGCACGGGUGAGUAACGCGUAUGCAACUUGCCUAUCAGAGGGGGAUAACCCGGCGAAAGUCGGACUAAUACCGCAUAAAGCAGGGGCCCCGCAUGGGGAUAUUUGCUAAAGAUUCAUCGCUGAUAGAUAGGCAUGCGUUCCAUUAGGCAGUUGGCGGGGUAACGGCCCACCAAACCGACGAUGGAUAGGGGUUCUGAGAGGAAGGUCCCCCACAUUGGUACUGAGACACGGACCAAACUCCUACGGGAGGCAGCAGUGAGGAAUAUUGGUCAAUGGCCGAGAGGCUGAACCAGCCAAGUCGCGUGAGGGAUGAAGGUUCUAUGGAUCGUAAACCUCUUUUAUAAGGGAAUAAAGUGCGGGACGUGUCCCGUUUUGUAUGUACCUUAUGAAUAAGGAUCGGCUAACUCCGUGCCAGCAGCCGCGGUAAUACGGAGGAUCCGAGCGUUAUCCGGAUUUAUUGGGUUUAAAGGGUGCGUAGGCGGCCUUUUAAGUCAGCGGUGAAAGUCUGUGGCUCAACCAUAGAAUUGCCGUUGAAACUGGGGGGCUUGAGUAUGUUUGAGGCAGGCGGAAUGCGUGGUGUAGCGGUGAAAUGCAUAGAUAUCACGCAGAACCCCGAUUGCGAAGGCAGCCUGCCAAGCCAUUACUGACGCUGAUGCACGAAAGCGUGGGGAUCAAACAGGAUUAGAUACCCUGGUAGUCCACGCAGUAAACGAUGAUCACUAGCUGUUUGCGAUACACUGUAAGCGGCACAGCGAAAGCGUUAAGUGAUCCACCUGGGGAGUACGCCGGCAACGGUGAAACUCAAAGGAAUUGACGGGGGCCCGCACAAGCGGAGGAACAUGUGGUUUAAUUCGAUGAUACGCGAGGAACCUUACCCGGGUUUGAACGCAUUCGGACCGAGGUGGAAACACCUUUUCUAGCAAUAGCCGUUUGCGAGGUGCUGCAUGGUUGUCGUCAGCUCGUGCCGUGAGGUGUCGGCUUAAGUGCCAUAACGAGCGCAACCCUUGCCACUAGUUACUAACAGGUAAAGCUGAGGACUCUGGUGGGACUGCCAGCGUAAGCUGCGAGGAAGGCGGGGAUGACGUCAAAUCAGCACGGCCCUUACAUCCGGGGCGACACACGUGUUACAAUGGCGUGGACAAAGGGAGGCCACCUGGCGACAGGGAGCGAAUCCCCAAACCACGUCUCAGUUCGGAUCGGAGUCUGCAACCCGACUCCGUGAAGCUGGAUUCGCUAGUAAUCGCGCAUCAGCCAUGGCGCGGUGAAUACGUUCCCGGGCCUUGUACACACCGCCCGUCAAGCCAUGGGAGCCGGGGGUACCUGAAGUCCGUAACCAAAAGGAUCGGCCUAGGGUAAAACUGGUGACUGGGGCUAAGU
This 1441-nucleotide ribosomal RNA is filed under the name uncultured organism. RNAcentral's name for it is "SSU rRNA". It matches the Rfam family "Bacterial small subunit ribosomal RNA". The record is from RNAcentral.